UCGCUCCUACCGAUUGAGUGGUUCGGUGAACUUUUUGGACUGCGUGCACUCAAGUGCGUGCGGAAAGUUAAUUAAACCAUAUCACUUAGAGGAAGGAA
This 98-nucleotide ribosomal RNA is filed under the name uncultured eukaryote. RNAcentral's name for it is "partial small subunit ribosomal RNA". It matches the Rfam family "Eukaryotic small subunit ribosomal RNA", at positions 1676 to 1785 of the family's 1831-position model. The record is from RNAcentral.